Molecule: ribosomal RNA, 418 nt
Filed under: Escherichia coli
Lineage: Bacteria; Pseudomonadati; Pseudomonadota; Gammaproteobacteria; Enterobacterales; Enterobacteriaceae
Also listed under: 1 other name
Description: partial 16S ribosomal RNA
Rfam family: Bacterial small subunit ribosomal RNA
Source: RNAcentral
AAAUUGAAGAGUUUGAUCAUGGCUCAGAUUGAACGCUGGCGGCAGGCCUAACACAUGCAAGUCGAACGGUAACAGGAAGCAGCUUGCUGCUUCGCUGACGAGUGGCGGACGGGUGAGUAAUGUCUGGGAAACUGCCUGAUGGAGGGGGAUAACUACUGGAAACGGUAGCUAAUACCGCAUAACGUCGCAAGACCAAAGAGGGGGACCUUCGGGCCUCUUGCCAUCGGAUGUGCCCAGAUGGGAUUAGCUUGUUGGUGGGGUAACGGCUCACCAAGGCGACGAUCCCUAGCUGGUCUGAGAGGAUGACCAGCCACACUGGAACUGAGACACGGUCCAGACUCCUACGGGAGGCAGCAGUGGGGAAUAUUGCACAAUGGGCGCAAGCCUGAUGCAGCCAUGCCGCGUGUAUGAAGAAGGC